RNAcentral lists this ribosomal RNA (497 nucleotides) under uncultured bacterium. RNAcentral's name for it is "partial 16S ribosomal RNA". It matches the Rfam family "Bacterial small subunit ribosomal RNA", at positions 28 to 507 of the family's 1533-position model. The record is from RNAcentral.
GAUGAACGCUGGCGGCGUGCCUAAUACAUGCAAGUCGAGCGAACAGACGAGGAGCUUGCUCCUCUGACGUUAGCGGCGGACGGGUGAGUAACACGUGGAUAACCUAUCUAUAAGACUGGGAUAACCUCGGGAAACCGGAGCUAAUACCGGAUAAUAUAUUGAACCGCAUGGUUCAAUAGUGAAAGACGGUUUUGCUGUCACUUAUAGAUGGAUCCGCGCCGCAUUAGCUAGUUGGUAAGGUAACGGCUUACCAAGGCAACGAUGCGUAGCCGACCUGAGAGGGUGAUCGGCCACACUGGAACUGAGACACGGUCCAGACUCCUACGGGAGGCAGCAGUAGGGAAUCUUCCGCAAUGGGCGAAAGCCUGACGGAGCAACGCCGCGUGAGUGAUGAAGGUCUUCGGAUCGUAAAACUCUGUUAUUAGGGAAGAACAAAUGUGUAAGUAACUAUGCACGUCUUGACGGUACCUAAUCAGAAAGCCACGGCUAACUACGUG